Molecule: ribosomal RNA, 445 nt
Filed under: uncultured Prevotellaceae bacterium
Lineage: Bacteria; Pseudomonadati; Bacteroidota; Bacteroidia; Bacteroidales; Prevotellaceae
Description: bacterial SSU rRNA
Rfam family: Bacterial small subunit ribosomal RNA
Source: RNAcentral
GUGAGGAAUAUUGGUCAAUGGACGGAAGUCUGAACCAGCCAAGUAGCGUGCAGGAUGACGGCCCUAUGGGUUGUAAACUGCUUUUUUAGGGGAAUAAAGUUAGCCACGUGUGGUUAUUUGCAUGUACCCUACGAAUAAGGACCGGCUAAUUCCGUGCCAGCAGCCGCGGUAAUACGGAAGGUCCGGGCGUUAUCCGGAUUUAUUGGGUUUAAAGGGAGCGCAGGCCGUUUGGUAAGCGUGUUGUGAAAUGUCCGGGCUCAACCUGGGCACUGCAGCGCGAACUGUCAGACUUGAGUGCACAGGAAGCGGGCGGAAUUCGUGGUGUAGCGGUGAAAUGCUUAGAUAUCACGAAGAACUCCAAUUGCGAAGGCAGCUCGCUGUAGUGUUACUGACGCUAAAGCUCGAAAGUGCGGGUAUCGAACAGGAUUAGAUACCCGAGUAGUCC